RNAcentral lists this ribosomal RNA (253 nucleotides) under uncultured bacterium. Its description in RNAcentral is "partial 16S ribosomal RNA". It matches the Rfam family "Bacterial small subunit ribosomal RNA", at positions 524 to 776 of the family's 1533-position model. The record is from RNAcentral.
UACGUAGGGGGCAAGCGUUGUCCGGAAUCAUUGGGCGUAAAGCGCGUGUAGGCGGCUCGGUAAGUCUGCUGUGAAAGUCCAGGGCUCAACCCUGGGAUGCCGGUGGAUACUGUCGAGCUCGAGUCCGGAAGAGGCGAGUGGAAUUCCUGGUGUAGCGGUGAAAUGCGCAGAUAUCAGGAGGAACACCGGUGGCGAAGGCGCACAUCUGGCCCGAUACUGACGCUGAAGCGCGAAAGCUAGGGGAGCAAACGGG